RNAcentral lists this ribosomal RNA (253 nucleotides) under uncultured bacterium. Its description in RNAcentral is "partial 16S ribosomal RNA". It matches the Rfam family "Bacterial small subunit ribosomal RNA", at positions 524 to 776 of the family's 1533-position model. The record is from RNAcentral.
UACGUAGGUGGCAAGCGUUGUCCGGAUUUACUGGGCGUAAAGAGCGCGCAGGCGGUCAGAUAAGUCGAAUGUGAAAGCCCCCGGCUCAACUGGGGAGGGUCAUUCGAUACUGUUCGACUCGAAGGCAGGAGAGGGAAGCGGAAUUCCCGGUGUAGUGGUGAAAUGCGCAGAUAUCAGGAGGAACACCGGUGGCGAAGGCGGGUCUCUGGGCAGUAACUGACGCUGAGGAGCGAAAGCGUGGGGAGCGAACAGG